RNAcentral lists this non-coding RNA (133 nucleotides) under Desulfosporosinus sp. RNAcentral's name for it is "MoCo sequence". It matches the Rfam family "Molybdenum/Tungsten riboswitch aptamer (Moco RNA motif)". Lineage: Bacteria; Bacillati; Bacillota; Clostridia; Eubacteriales; Desulfitobacteriaceae. The record is from RNAcentral.
GAAUAAUUAAAUCUCCGAGCCAGAAUGACCUAAAGAGCAAAUCUAUGGUCACUGGACAGGGCCUGAGUCCUCAGGGUGUUCCCGGAAACGGGUAUGCCUUCACAUUUUGAAAAGGAGUAGCACACAUGUUAGA